This 617-nucleotide ribosomal RNA is filed under the name uncultured bacterium. RNAcentral's name for it is "bacterial SSU rRNA". It matches the Rfam family "Bacterial small subunit ribosomal RNA", at positions 69 to 681 of the family's 1533-position model. The record is from RNAcentral.
GUAGCAGGAAGUGCUUGCACUUUGCUGACGAGUGGCGGACGGGUGAGUAAUACUUAGGAACAUGCCUUUGUGUGGGGGAUAACCAUUGGAAACGAUGGCUAAUACCGCAUAAUGUCUUUGGACCAAAGAGGGCUUUCGGGCUCUCGCGCAAAGAGUGGCCUAAGUGAGAUUAGCUUGUUGGUGAGGUAAAGGCUCACCAAGGCGACGAUCUCUAGCUGUUCUGAGAGGAAGAUCAGCCACACUGGGACUGAGACACGGCCCAGACUCCUACGGGAGGCAGCAGUGGGGAAUAUUGCACAAUGGGGGCAACCCUGAUGCAGCCAUGCCGCGUGUGUGAAGAAGGCCUUCGGGUUGUAAAGCACUUUCAGUUGUGAGGAAAGGUUGAUGGUUAAUACCCAUCAGCUGUGACGUUAGCAACAGAAGAAGCACCGGCUAACUCCGUGCCAGCAGCCGCGGUAAUACGGAGGGUGCGAGCGUUAAUCGGAAUUACUGGGCGUAAAGCGCACGCAGGCGGUUAUAUAAGCUAGAUGUGAAAGCCCCGGGCUCAACCUGGGAAUAGCAUUUAGAACUGUAUGACUAGAGUCUUGGAGAGGGGAGUGGAAUUCCAGGUGUAGCGG